This 425-nucleotide ribosomal RNA is filed under the name uncultured bacterium. RNAcentral's name for it is "partial 16S ribosomal RNA". It matches the Rfam family "Bacterial small subunit ribosomal RNA", at positions 354 to 796 of the family's 1533-position model. The record is from RNAcentral.
GUGGGGAAUCUUAGACAAUGGGGGAAACCCUGAUCUAGCCAUGCCGCGUGAGCGAUGAAGGCCUUAGGGUUGUAAAGCUCUUUCAGCUGGGAAGAUAAUGACGGUACCAGCAGAAGAAGCCCCGGCUAACUCCGUGCCAGCAGCCGCGGUAAUACGGAGGGGGCUAGCGUUGUUCGGAAUUACUGGGCGUAAAGCGCGCGUAGGCGGACCAGAAAGUUGGAGGUGAAAUCCCAGGGCUCAACCUUGGAACUGCCUUCAAAACUCCUGGUCUGGAGUUCGAGAGAGGUGAGUGGAAUUCCGAGUGUAGAGGUGAAAUUCGUAGAUAUUCGGAAGAACACCAGUGGCGAAGGCGACACACUGGCUCAUUACUGACGCUGAGGCGCGAAAGCGUGGGGAGCAAACAGGAUUAGAAACCCCUGUAGUCC